AGUGAACGCUGGCGGCGGGCCUAACACAUGCAAGUCGAACGGAAGCACAGUAAGAGCUCGCUCUUACGGGUGGCGAGUGGCGGACGGGUGAGGAAUACAUCGGCAUCUACUUAUUCGUGGGGGAUAACGUAGGGAAACUUAUGCUACUACAGAAUAUAACCUACGGGAGAAAGCAGGGGAUAUUCGGACUUUGCGCGGUUGUAUGAGCUGAGGUCGGACUAGCUAGUUGGGGGGGUAAAGGACCACCAAGGCGACGAACCGUAGCUGGUCUGAGAGGAUGAUCAGCCACACUGGAACUGAGACACGGUCCAGACUCCUACGGGAGGCAGCAGUGGGGAAUAUUGGACAAUGGGCGCAAGCCUGAUCCAGCCAUACCGCGUGGGUGAAGAAGGCCUUCGGGUUGUAAAGCCCUGUUGUUGGGAAAGAAAAGCAGCAGAUUAAUACCCCGCUGUUCUGACGGUACCCAAAGAAUAAGCACCGGCUAACUUCGUG
RNAcentral lists this ribosomal RNA (492 nucleotides) under uncultured bacterium. RNAcentral's name for it is "partial 16S ribosomal RNA". It matches the Rfam family "Bacterial small subunit ribosomal RNA", at positions 29 to 507 of the family's 1533-position model. The record is from RNAcentral.